AACGUAGGACGCAAGCGUUAUCCGGAGUUACUGGGCGUAAAGCGUGUGCAGGCGGUUUGGUAAGUUGGAUGUGAAAGCUCCUGGCUCAACUGGGAGAGGUCGUUCAAUACUGCCAGACUAGAGGACGGUAGAGGAGAGUGGAAUUCCCGGUGUAGUGGUGAAAUGCGUAGAUAUCCGGAGGAACACCAGUGGCGAAGGCGACUCGCUGGGCCUAAACUGACGCUCAGACGCGAAAGCAUGGGGAGCGAACGGG
This 253-nucleotide ribosomal RNA is filed under the name uncultured bacterium. RNAcentral describes it as "partial 16S ribosomal RNA". It matches the Rfam family "Bacterial small subunit ribosomal RNA", at positions 524 to 776 of the family's 1533-position model. The record is from RNAcentral.